AGCUUUGCGCAGUGGCAGUAUCUUAGCCAAUGAGGUUUAUCCGAGGCACGAUUAUUGCUAAUUGAAAACAAGAUUCCUUGUUAGACCUAAAUUUUAGUUUUUUUAAGGAACGUUAAUAUGU
This is a small nuclear RNA of Ursus americanus (American black bear), 121 nucleotides long. Its record names the gene U4. It matches the Rfam family "U4 spliceosomal RNA". From Rfam's summary of the family: U4 small nuclear RNA (U4 snRNA) is a component of the major U2-dependent spliceosome. NCBI's taxonomy places the organism in Eukaryota, Metazoa, Chordata, Mammalia, Carnivora, Ursidae. The record is from Ensembl.